This 497-nucleotide ribosomal RNA is filed under the name uncultured bacterium. RNAcentral describes it as "partial 16S ribosomal RNA". It matches the Rfam family "Bacterial small subunit ribosomal RNA", at positions 28 to 507 of the family's 1533-position model. The record is from RNAcentral.
GAUGAACGCUGGCGGCGUGCCUAAUACAUGCAAGUCGAGCGAACGGACGAUAAGCUUGCUUCUCUGAUGUUAGCGGCGGACGGGUGAGUAACACGUGGAUAACCUACCUAUAAGACUGGGAUAACUUCGGGAAACCGGAGCUAAUACCGGAUAAUAUUUUGUACCGCAUGGUUCAAAAGUGAAAGACGGUCUUGCUGUCACUUAUAGAUGGAUCCGCGCUGCAUUAGCUAGUUGGUAAGGUAACGGCUUACCAAGGCAACGAUGCAUAGCCGACCUGAGAGGAUGAUCGGCCACACUGGAACUGAGACACGGUCCAGACUCCUACGGGAGGCAGCAGUAGGGAAUCUUCGGCAAAGGGCGAAAGCCUGACGGAGCAACGCCGCGUGAGUGAUGAAGGUCUUCGGAUCGUAAAACUCUGUUAUUAGGGAAGAACAUAUGUGUAAGUAACUGUGCACAUCUUGACGGUACCUAAUCAGAAAGCCACGGCUAACUACGUG